AAUCAACGCUGGCGGCGUGCCUAACACAUGCAAGUCGCACGAGAAAGGGUCUUCGGAUCUGGGUAAAGUGGCGCACGGGUGAGUAACACGUGAAUUAUCUACCUUCGAGUGGGGAAUAACUUCGGGAAACCGAGGCUAAUACCGCAUAAUAUCUACGGAUCAAAGCAGUAAUGCGCUUGAAGAGGAGUUCGCGGCAGAUUAGUUAGUUGGCGGGGUAAUGGCCCACCAAGACGAUGAUCUGUAGCCGGCCUGAGAGGGCGCACGGACACACUGGAACUGAAACACGGUCCAGACUCCUACGGGAGGCAGCAGUGGGGAAUUUUGCGCAAUGGGGGAAACCCUGACGCAGCAACGCCGCGUGGAGGAUGAAGUCUCUUGGGACGUAAACUCCUUUCGAUAGGGAAGAUUAUGACGGUACCUAUAGAAGAAGCCCCGGCUAACUUCGGGCCAGCCGCCGCCGUAA
Molecule: ribosomal RNA, 463 nt
Filed under: uncultured bacterium
Lineage: Bacteria
Description: partial 16S ribosomal RNA
Rfam family: Bacterial small subunit ribosomal RNA
Source: RNAcentral